GACGAACGCUGUUGGCGUGCUUAACACAUGCAAGUCGAACGGAAAGGCCCUGCUUUUGUGGGGUGCUCGAGUGGCGAACGGGUGAGUAACACGUGAGUAACCUGCCCUUGACUUUGGGAUAACUUCAGGAAACUGGGGCUAAUACCGGAUAGGAGCUCCUGCUGCAUGGUGGGGGUUGGAAAGUUUCGGCGGUUGGGGAUGGACUCGCGGCUUAUCAGCUUGUUGGUGGGGUAGUGGCUUACCAAGGCUUUGACGGGUAGCCGGCCUGAGGGGGUGACCGGCCACAUUGGGACUGAGAUACGGCCCAGACUCCUACGGGAGGCAGCAGUGGGGAAUAUUGCACAAUGGGCGGAAGCCUGAUGCAGCAACGCCGCGUGCGGGAUGACGGCCUUCGGGUUGUAAACCGCUUUCGCCUGUGACGAAGCGUGAGUGACGGUAAUGGGUAAAGAAGCACCGGCUAACUACGUGCCAGCAGCCGCGGUGAUACGUAAGGUGCGAGCGUUGUCCGGAUUUAUUGGGCGCAAAGGGCUCGUAGGUGGUUGAUCGCGUCGGAAGUGUAAUCUUGGGGCUUAACCCUGAGCGUGCUUUCGAUACGGGUUGACUUGAGGAAGGUAGGGGAGAAUGGAAUUCCUGGUGGAGCGGUGGAAUGCGCAGAUAUCAGGAGGAACACCAGUGGCGAAGGCGGUUCUCUGGGCCUUUCCUGACGCUGAGGAGCGAAAGCGUGGGGAGCGAACAGGCUUAGAUACCCUGGUAGUCCACGCUGUAAACGGUGGGUACUAGGUGUGGGGUCCAUUCCACGGGUUCCGUGCCGUAGCUAACGCUUUAAGUACCCCGCCUGGGGAGUACGGCCGCAAGGCUAAAACUCAAAGGAAUUGACGGGGCCCCGCACAAGCGGCGGAGCAUGCGGAUUAAUUCGAUGCAACGCGUAGAACCUUACCUGGGUUUGACAUGGAUCGGGAGCGCUCAGAGAUGGGUGUGCCUCUUUUGGGGUCGGUUCACAGGUGGUGCAUGGCUGUCGUCAGCUCGUGUCGUGAGAUGUUGGGUUAAGUCCCGCAACGAGCGCAACCCUUGUUCACUGUUGCCAGCACGUUAUGGUGGGGACUCAGUGGAGACCGCCGGGGUCAACUCGGAGGAAGGUGGGGAUGACGUCAAGUCAUCAUGCCCCUUAUGUCCAGGGCUUCACGCAUGCUACAAUGGCUGGUACAGAGAGUGGCGAGCCUGUGAGGGUGAGCGAAUCUCGGAAAGCCGGUCUCAGUUCGGAUUGGGGUCUGCAACUCGACCUCAUGAAGUCGGAGUCGCUAGUAAUCGCAGAUCAGCAACGCUGCGGUGAAUACGUUCCCGGG
Molecule: ribosomal RNA, 1343 nt
Filed under: uncultured bacterium
Lineage: Bacteria
Description: 16S ribosomal RNA
Rfam family: Bacterial small subunit ribosomal RNA
Source: RNAcentral